Molecule: RNA transcript, 1671 nt
Organism: Phoenix dactylifera (date palm)
Lineage: Eukaryota; Viridiplantae; Streptophyta; Magnoliopsida; Arecales; Arecaceae
Gene name: BRISC complex subunit Abro1-like protein
Source: RefSeq, a predicted model, not a curated record
AAACCGCUCUUCCCCGAAUGACCCCACUGUCCCCUCCGAUCGUACCCUCAUCACCCUCAAAUCUCUCUCUCUCUCUCUCUCUCUCUCUCUCUCGAUCGCCAUGGCUGACGAUGCCGUCGUCGAGAAGAUCUCCAUCUCCGGUCCCACCCUCGCCUCCAUCAUCCAUCGCUUCACGUCCUCUCCCGGCGACGUCGACGGUCUCCUCUUCGGCCACGUCGCCCGCCUCCCCCCUCCUGAUCUCCACGACGACGACCCCUCCGCCGCCACCUCCGCCGCCGCCAGCCAGUCCCCUCUCUCUGCCACCGUCACCGGCAUCUUCUGCUCCGGCUCCCCCAUGGGCUUCUACGACGCCCUCGGCCGCCUCGACCUGCCUGCCCUCCGCCGCGCCUUCGCCGCCGCCGACCACCGCCCCCCCGGCUUCGCCCUCCUCGGAUGGUUCUCUGGGCGCCGACGCUCCCCCGUCCACCCCUCCAUGCGCGAGUUCGCCGUCUCCUUCUCCCUCUCCAAAUACCCAACCCUAACCCUAGACGACCGCCCCGGCUCUGCCCAUCCCGAUCUCCCUCCGAAGCCCUGCAUCUUCCUCCUCCUCGCCUCCUCGCCAUCUCCGAACCACGCGGUCCACACCCACGAGUACCGGGCCUUCGUGUUCCGGUCGACGGCCGCUGGCAGCGGCGCCCUCGAGCCGAGAUCGCUGGACGUCAUCAACGUAGGCCCUGCCUUCCGGGGGCAGUACAGCUCCUUCUCGCCGGCGUCGGCGUUCCCGUGGAUGCCGUGCUGGCCGAGGGGCAUCGAGGAGGGGGAGAGAGAGAGGGGGAGCAAGAAAGGGGAGAGCCUCCGGGAGGCGGAGAGGGAGCUGCGGCUGCUGGAGUCCUCUGCGGAGGGAUUCGGCCUAGAGAGAUUGGAGCGGCUGGUGGGGCCAGGGGCGGCAGAGUACACCUCCGAGUUGGAGGACUUGUAUACGAAGAUGCUGCUCAAGCUGGAGGGCUUGGCGAGGCUUGUGGAGAAGAGCUCAGCUAGGGUUCUUGAGCAGGAAAACCGAAAUUCAUUAUUGCGAAACAAGUUAGCCGGGAUGGAAUGAAAUUUGUGUCAUUUGAAGUCCUUGUGUCUCAACCUGGUUUGAAACCAAGUCCAAACUGAAAUGGACCAAGUCCACCACUGUUAGACUUAAGUUCACUUAUUUAACUAUGGCCAUUUUUUAUGGUAUUGGGUUAUCUUGUGAGCUCAAGUACUGAGUAGGGGUUCCGCUCACAAGUCAAGAGGUGUUAUACAUAUAUGCAUUGGCUGGGUACGUGCCGGUUGAACUUUCCCGCCUAUGGUAGCAUGAUAGCUAGUGCAUUAAUGUUCCAAACGAAGGCUGGUUGCUUUGAAUCAAUGCCAAGGGUGGAUAGAAGCACCAUGGAUGAGGUGAAGAGACUAGGAAAUGCUGUGAUGAUUUUGUUGCCUUGAAUUGUUUACGGAAAAUUUCAUGUCUAUUAUAAGAUUUAGCUCACUUGUGUUUAUGAAGGAUGGGGGGGAGUGACAAUGCGGUGGAUAGCAAUCUUGGUAGAUUUGGACUUAAAAAGAGAAAUAACUCGUUGGGUUCUAUGUAUAUUGUGAAGAAAUUUGCUUCUCUGAAAAUUCAGAAAUAUUGCCAUCCGCGAGGUUGCAAGGUGUUGCUGCUUUUGUUUCUUC